UGGGGAAUAUUGCGCAAUGGGGGCAACCCUGACGCAGCAACGCCGCGUGCGGGACGACGGCCUUCGGGUUGUAAACCGCUUUCAGCAGGGAAGAUAGUGACGGUACCUGCACAAGAAGCCCCGGCUAACUACGUGCCAGCAGCCGCGGUAAUACGUAGGGGGCGAGCGUUAUCCGGAUUCAUUGGGCGUAAAGCGCGCGCAGGCGGCUCUUCAAGCGGAACCUCUAACCCCGGGGCUCAACCUCGGGCCGGGUUCCGAACUGGAGGGCUCGAGUGCGGUAGAGGCAGGCGGAAUUCCCGGUGUAGCGGUGGAAUGCGCAGAUAUCGGGAGGAACACCGAUGGCGAAGGCAGCCUGCUGGGCCGGCACUGACGCUGAGGCGCGAAAGCUAGGGGAGCGAACAGG
RNAcentral lists this ribosomal RNA (403 nucleotides) under Verrucomicrobiota bacterium. RNAcentral describes it as "Verrucomicrobia bacterium partial 16S ribosomal RNA". It matches the Rfam family "Bacterial small subunit ribosomal RNA", at positions 355 to 776 of the family's 1533-position model. Lineage: Bacteria; Pseudomonadati; Verrucomicrobiota. The record is from RNAcentral.